GAGUACUAAGAAGAUCGGGAAUUGGAAAAAUUCUCUCAAAUUCUUGGUAAUUCCCGGAAAAGUUCUCUUAAAUUCUUGGUAAAAACCAAUCGAAAGGGCUGUAGAAUUCUUCUUCCUUGGAGUCAAAUCUUUCAUUCGCCAUAAAGAAGAACCAACAACCUGGAAGCCUCCUCAAAUUGGUCUUAAGCAUAAUGUAGAUGGAUCCUAUGACCACUCCACAAAAAUAGGAGGAGCGGGGGGUGUCUUUAGAAAUAAUUUAGGUGAUUGGGUUAGGGGUUAUAGUACAAAACUAAAUGUUAACUCUCUUUUGGAUGCAAAACUUACAAGCUUAUUUUAUGGUCUUCUAUUUGCUCUUAAGCUGCAGGCCCCACAUUUAGAAAUUGCAACAGCUUCACCAGAGGUAAUAAAAGCUCUCGAUCCCCAUAACGAUGUUAAUAACACUUAAGCUUCUUCAUGCAAGGAUCUUCUAACCAGCCUGGGGAGCCCAACGAUAAUGCAUAAAUCAAGGAAGCUCAAUACAGUUGCAGAUAGGCUAGCUAAGGAAGGCCAUAAGUUACAUAAUAAUGUGUUCGUAGAAUGGGUUGAUCUGCCAGAUUUUGCUCGUUCGUCGCCUGUUGAAGACACCAGCAGCCACCCUCCUAUAGAGGAUGUUGCUUCACUUUUAUCUCUAGCAUUGUGUUAGCUUUUUGUUAGUCUUGCUGUGCCACACUACCCGAAUUAUGUUAACUGUUUUGUUGGGCCAGUCGAGCCCCUAACUAUCAGGUUUAUGUAACUAGUUCUACUCCUUUAGGUACUGAUAAGCUGCUUGCAGCUCCUACUGUAAACUCCUGUGAUGCAUAUUAAUAGUAAUGAAUAAAAUAUCCUUUUAACCAAAAACAA
This 879-nucleotide long non-coding RNA is filed under the name Capsicum annuum. RNAcentral's name for it is "long non-coding RNA (CANN_LNC015488)". The record is from RNAcentral. Lineage: Eukaryota; Viridiplantae; Streptophyta; Magnoliopsida; Solanales; Solanaceae.